UAGAUAUAUUAUUAUAUAAUAAUUUAUUAUAUAAUUUACUAUUUAUUUUUAUAAAAUGUAAAAUAUAUAAAUAAAUGUUAAAUAAUUUAGACUAUUGGUAUUAGAUAUAAAUGUUAAUUUUAUAAUAUUGAGCAUUCACAUAUAAAUUGUACAUUAAAAAAAAAAAAAAGAUUGAUGCAGCUUAAGUUAAUUUUAUAUUUGACGAAAGUUAAUUGCGAGAAUUACAAGCAAUGAUUUCUCUUAUCAUUCACUAACUACUGGAGGAUUACGAUACCUACUAAAAAUUAUUCUACUAACUAAUAGAGGAUUACCGUGCCUACUAAAAAUUUUUGAUAUACUUAUUGCACCCUUUAUUAUUUCUCAACUCCUUUGUAAGGACUGAGAUUUUUGCAGUGUAGCUAAACUCUCAGUUGACGAUGUUUUUGUGUGUAAUUUACUUACAAAAGCACUCGUCAAGUUUCGGGCGAAAUCGAGUUAAA
This 479-nucleotide long non-coding RNA is filed under the name Ananas comosus (pineapple). RNAcentral describes it as "long non-coding RNA (ACOM_LNC009317)". Lineage: Eukaryota; Viridiplantae; Streptophyta; Magnoliopsida; Poales; Bromeliaceae. The record is from RNAcentral.